GAUGAACGCUGGCGGCGUGCCUAAUACAUGCAAGUCGAGCGAACAGAUGAGGAGCUUGCUCCUCUGACGUUAGCGGCGGACGGGUGAGUAACACGUGGAUAACCUACCUAUAAGACUGGGAUAACUUCGGGAAACCGGAGCUAAUACCGGAUAAUAUAUUGAACCGCAUGGUUCAAUAGUGAAAGACGGUUUUGCUGUCACUUAUAGAUGGAUACGCCGCAUUAGCUAGUUGGUAAGGUAACGGCUUACCAAGGCAACGAUGCGUAGCCGACCUGAGAGGGUGAUCGGCCACACUGGAACUGAGACACGGUCCAGACUCCUACGGGAGGCAGCAGUAGGGAAUCUUCCGCAAUGGGCGAAAGCCUGACGGAGCAACGCCGCGUGAGUGAUGAAGGUCUUCGGAUCGUAAAACUCUGUUAUUAGGGAAGAACAAAUGUGUAAGUAACUAUGCACGUCUUGACGGUACCUAAUCAGAAAGCCACGGCUAACUACGUG
Molecule: ribosomal RNA, 495 nt
Filed under: uncultured bacterium
Lineage: Bacteria
Description: partial 16S ribosomal RNA
Rfam family: Bacterial small subunit ribosomal RNA
Source: RNAcentral